UUCACGAAAUUUAUUAAACCCUAGAUCCUUCUGUGAGGUCAGAUCGUGUUUUACACCGUCGGUGUUUUGACUCGUUUCCCUCAACUCGAUCAUUGACGACUCUACGGAUUUGAGCUGCUGCAAUGAUACAAGCCUUCAACAGAAACAGAUUUAGUGAGAAGUCAAGAUCGGUUCAAUUGGGAUUCAAAUUAAUUUCAUCUUUAACUCAAGAAUUUGUUGCAUCUCUUGAUAUUUUUCAUUGUUCAACUUCAUCAAACGUCAUCAAAGGUUCUGCAGGUGAAUUGAUUAACGUUUUAGGAGGGAUAUUUUGGUUGUGCCUGCCAUUUUAUUUUGUUGUUUUAAUUGUGUUGUUCAAUAUGUGACGGAUGACGUUUUGCUAAGUUGCUACUCGUAUGAUUUGGUUGUUCUAUUUUAUUUUCAAGUAUGCUUUAAGAUGGAAAUGUUCAUGGAUGUUUCUAAAUAUUGCUAGUAUGAUUAAGAUUGUAUUUUGUUAUUGUGGAUUGUUGUAUAAGUU
This is a long non-coding RNA of Hibiscus syriacus, 514 nucleotides long. RefSeq lists it as uncharacterized. The transcript has 3 exons. The record is from RefSeq and is a predicted model, not a curated record. NCBI's taxonomy places the organism in Eukaryota, Viridiplantae, Streptophyta, Magnoliopsida, Malvales, Malvaceae.